UUAAGCGACUAAGCGUACACGGUGGAUGCCCUGGCAGUCAGAGGCGAUGAAGGGCGUGCUAAUCUGCGAUAAGCGCCGGUAAGGUGAUAUGAACCGUUAUAACCGGCGAUACCCGAAUGGGGAAACCCAGUGUGAUUCGUCACACUAUCAUUAACUGAAUCCAUAGGUUAAUGAGGCGAACCGGGGGAACUGAAACAUCUAAGUACCCCGAGGAAAAGAAAUCAACCGAGAUUCCCCCAGUAGCGGCGAGCGAACGGGGAGGAGCCCAGAGCCUGAAUCAGCAUGUGUGUUAGUGGAAGCGUCUGGAAAGGCGCGCGAUACAGGGUGACAGCCCCGUACACAAAAGCGCAUGUGCUGUGAGCUCGAUGAGUAGGGCGGGACACGUGGUAUCCUGUCUGAAUAUGGGGGGACCAUCCUCCAAGGCUAAAUACUCCUGACUGACCGAUAGUGAACCAGUACCGUGAGGGAAAGGCGAAAAGAACCCCGGCGAGGGGAGUGAAAAAGAACCUGAAACCGUGUACGUACAAGCAGUGGGAGCACAGGUUUACCUGUGUGACUGCGUACCUUUUGUAUAAUGGGUCAGCGACUUAUAUUCUGUAGCAAGGUUAACCGAAUAGGGGAGCCGGAGGGAAACCGAGUCUUAAUUGGGCGUUAAGUUGCAGGGUAUAGACCCGAAACCCGGUGAUCUAGCCAUGGGCAGGUUGAAGGUUGGGUAACACUAACUGGAGGACCGAACCGACUAAUGUUGAAAAAUUAGCGGAUGACCUGUGGCUGGGGGUGAAAGGCCAAUCAAACCGGGAGAUAGCUGGUUCUCCCCGAAAGCUAUUUAGGUAGCGCCUCGUGAAUUCAUCUCCGGGGGUAGAGCACUGUUUCGGCUAGGGGGCCAUCCCGGCUUACCAACCCGAUGCAAACUGCGAAUACCGGAGAAUGUUAUCACGGGAGACACACGGCGGGUGCUAACGUCCGUCGUGAAGAGGGAAACAACCCAGACCGCCAGCUAAGGUCCCAAAGUCAUGGUUAAGUGGGAAACGAUGUGGGAAGGCCCAGACAGCCAGGAUGUUGGCUUAGAAGCAGCCAUCAUUUAAAGAAAGCGUAAUAGCUCACUGGUCGAGUCGGCCUGCGCGGAAGAUGUAACGGGGCUAAACCAUGCACCGAAGCUGCGGCAGCGAACGUAUCACUUAAAGCGAUUCAGCGGGUUACGAUUGACGGAGCGAAGCGACGUCAAAGCGUAUACAAAGUCGAGUCGGUUUAAGGAUACGUUCGUUGGGUAGGGGAGCGUUCUGUAAGCCUGUGAAGGUGGCCUGUGAGGGUUGCUGGAGGUAUCAGAAGUGCGAAUGCUGACAUAAGUAACGAUAAAGCGGGUGAAAAGCCCGCUCGCCGGAAGACCAAGGGUUCCUGUCCAACGUUAAUCGGGGCAGGGUGAGUCGACCCCUAAGGCGAGGCCGAAAGGCGUAGUCGAUGGGAAACGGGUUAAUAUUCCCGUACUUGGUGUUACUGCGAAGGGGGGACGGAGAAGGCUAUGUUGGCCGGGCGACGGUUGUCCCGGUUUAAGCGUGUAGGUGUGUGUUCCAGGUAAAUCCGGUUCACUUUAACACUGAGGCGUGAUGACGAGGCACUACGGUGCUGAAGCAACAAAUGCCCUGCUUCCAGGAAAAGCCUCUAAGCAUCAGGUAACAUCAAAUCGUACCCCAAACCGACACAGGUGGUCAGGUAGAGAAUACCAAGGCGCUUGAGAGAACUCGGGUGAAGGAACUAGGCAAAAUGGUGCCGUAACUUCGGGAGAAGGCACGCUGACACGUAGGUGAAGUGAUUUACUCAUGGAGCUGAAGUCAGUCGAAGAUACCAGCUGGCUGCAACUGUUUAUUAAAAACACAGCACUGUGCAAACACGAAAGUGGACGUAUACGGUGUGACGCCUGCCCGGUGCCGGAAGGUUAAUUGAUGGGGUCAGCGCAAGCGAAGCUCCUGAUCGAAGCCCCGGUAAACGGCGGCCGUAACUAUAACGGUCCUAAGGUAGCGAAAUUCCUUGUCGGGUAAGUUCCGACCUGCACGAAUGGCGUAAUGAUGGCCAGGCUGUCUCCACCCGAGACUCAGUGAAAUUGAACUCGCUGUGAAGAUGCAGUGUACCCGCGGCAAGACGGAAAGACCCCGUGAACCUUUACUAUAGCUUGACACUGAACAUUGAGCCUUGAUGUGUAGGAUAGGUGGGAGGCUUUGAAGUGUGGACGCCAGUCUGCAUGGAGCCGACCUUGAAAUACCACCCUUUAAUGUUUGAUGUUCUAACGUGGACCCGUGAUCCGGGUUGCGGACAGUGUCUGGUGGGUAGUUUGACUGGGGCGGUCUCCUCCUAAAGAGUAACGGAGGAGCACGAAGGUUGGCUAAUCCUGGUCGGACAUCAGGAGGUUAGUGCAAUGGCAUAAGCCAGCUUGACUGCGAGCGUGACGGCGCGAGCAGGUGCGAAAGCAGGUCAUAGUGAUCCGGUGGUUCUGAAUGGAAGGGCCAUCGCUCAACGGAUAAAAGGUACUCCGGGGAUAACAGGCUGAUACCGCCCAAGAGUUCAUAUCGACGGCGGUGUUUGGCACCUCGAUGUCGGCUCAUCACAUCCUGGGGCUGAAGUAGGUCCCAAGGGUAUGGCUGUUCGCCAUUUAAAGUGGUACGCGAGCUGGGUUUAGAACGUCGUGAGACAGUUCGGUCCCUAUCUGCCGUGGGCGCUGGAGAACUGAGGGGGGCUGCUCCUAGUACGAGAGGACCGGAGUGGACGCAUCACUGGUGUUCGGGUUGUCAUGCCAAUGGCACUGCCCGGUAGCUAAAUGCGGAAGAGAUAAGUGCUGAAAGCAUCUAAGCACGAAACUUGCCCCGAGAUGAGUUCUCCCUGAGACUUAGAGUCUCCUGAAGGAACGUUGAAGACGACGACGUUGAUAGGCCGGGUGUGUAAGCGCAGCGAUGCGUUGAGCUAACCGGUACUAAUGAACCGUGAGGCUUAACCUU
Molecule: ribosomal RNA, 2987 nt
Filed under: Salmonella enterica
Lineage: Bacteria; Pseudomonadati; Pseudomonadota; Gammaproteobacteria; Enterobacterales; Enterobacteriaceae
Description: bacterial LSU rRNA
Rfam family: Bacterial large subunit ribosomal RNA
Source: RNAcentral